RNAcentral lists this long non-coding RNA (214 nucleotides) under Mytilus galloprovincialis (Mediterranean mussel). Lineage: Eukaryota; Metazoa; Mollusca; Bivalvia; Mytilida; Mytilidae. The record is from RNAcentral.
UAAGAGGGUAGUUAAGUUUUAAAUGUAUAUACUAUUUUUAAAUUCAGAUCUCAACAUAUACCCUAACACUAAGUCGUAUGUAAAUGUAUAAAAGGGAUAGGAAGUAGGUUUGAAAUUUUAAAACAAAUGAAAAAUAGAUAUAUGAAAAAAGAAAGGAAAUAGAAAAAGGAAACUAUAUACUUAUUUUAGAAAAAUGUAAUACAUUACAGAGAAC